RNAcentral lists this long non-coding RNA (562 nucleotides) under Ananas comosus (pineapple). RNAcentral describes it as "long non-coding RNA (ACOM_LNC001376)". Lineage: Eukaryota; Viridiplantae; Streptophyta; Magnoliopsida; Poales; Bromeliaceae. The record is from RNAcentral.
GUAGAACAAGUGAAUUUAAAGAAUCAUUAAUCAUCCACACUUUCAUACAUAGGUACAAAUUAAACAAAUAUCUUUCUCUUACCCUUUACAUUCUUUUCUCUAUUUCAAACUCUUAUAUACUCUAUAUUUGCCACUACUUUGGUAUUUAUAUAUAUAAUACAUGUGCUCCUUUUGGACUAGUAAAACUAAUGAAAAUUAAAACAAAUUAAAAAAAAGGAAAAAAAAAAAGAAAAGAAGAAAGAAUAGUAGUAACAACUCUAAUGGCCAGGACCACUGGGGCUAGGCCCAGAAGGCAACCUUGCCAGCCAUGUAGCCAUGCUUUGGCGCGCCUUCGCGAACACGGUCGGAUACGCUCCGAAUCCCUGAUCGGCUCCGUUGUCGCACCCCGCCGGCGUUAGUCGCGCCGCCUCGGCUCUCUUAACACCUGCUAAGCACAUGAAUGAGAUGGCCACAAUGAACAAGAUCACCAGCACCCUUCUACAAUCCAUCAUGGAGAGAGAGUUUAGAGAUAGGUGGUGUUAUAUGUAUGAGUUUUGUGUUGUAAGUUGAGAUACAAUGUUGU